This 253-nucleotide ribosomal RNA is filed under the name uncultured bacterium. RNAcentral describes it as "partial 16S ribosomal RNA". It matches the Rfam family "Bacterial small subunit ribosomal RNA", at positions 524 to 776 of the family's 1533-position model. The record is from RNAcentral.
UACGUAGGGUGCGAGCGUUAAUCGGAAUUACUGGGCGUAAAGCGUGCGCAGGCGGUUACCUAAGCCAGGCGUGAAAUCCCCGGGCUUAACCUGGGAAUUGCGUUUGGGACUGGGUAGCUAGAGUGUGGCAGAGGGAGGUGGAAUUCCACGUGUAGCAGUGAAAUGCGUAGAGAUGUGGAGGAACACCGAUGGCGAAGGCAGCCUCCUGGGCCAGCACUGACGCUAAUGCACGAAAGCGUGGGGAGCAAACAGG